This 73-nucleotide transfer RNA is filed under the name Candidatus Falkowbacteria bacterium CG1_02_37_44. Its description in RNAcentral is "tRNA-Thr". It matches the Rfam family "tRNA". Rfam says of the family: Transfer RNA (tRNA) molecules are approximately 80 nucleotides in length. Their secondary structure includes four short double-helical elements and three loops (D, anti-codon, and T loops). Lineage: Bacteria; Candidatus Falkowiibacteriota. The record is from RNAcentral. RNAcentral also lists the same sequence under 4 other names.
GCCCCUUUAGCUCAAUUGGUAGAGCAAUCCCUUCGUAAGGGAGAGGUUAUCGGUUCAAUUCCGGUAAGGGGCU